RNAcentral lists this unclassified non-coding RNA (336 nucleotides) under soil metagenome. Its description in RNAcentral is "partial contains 5.8S ribosomal RNA, internal transcribed spacer 2, and large subunit ribosomal RNA". The stretch from base 1 to 120 matches the Rfam family "5.8S ribosomal RNA", at positions 35 to 154 of the family's 154-position model. The record is from RNAcentral.
GAUGAAGAACGUAGCGAAAUGCGAUAAGUAAUGUGAAUUGCAGAAUUCAGUGAAUCAUCGAAUCUUUGAACGCACAUUGCGCCCGCCAGUAUUCUGGCGGGCAUGCCUGUUCGAGCGUCAUUUCAACCAUCAAGCCCCCGGCUUGUGUUGGGGACCUGCGGCUGCCGCAGGCCCUGAAAAGCAGUGGCGGGCUCGCUGUCACACCGAGCGUAGUAGCAUACAUCUCGCUCUGGGCGUGCUACGGGUUCCGGCCGUUAAACCACCUUCAUAACCCAAGGUUGACCUCGGAUCAGGUAGGAAGACCCGCUGAACUUAAGCAUAUCAAUAAGCGGAGGA